UCCCCUGCUUCCUCUUCCUUGCUGUUAUUAGGUUGAUAAUUAUGACAAAAGUGAUGGAGUCCAUCUGUUCUCCAGACUGGGCUAGAUCUGCUAAAAAUCAUUCCUGGACUCGGCAGACCAUUGGGUCGCUGCUCACGUGCACUGCAUUACUCUUCUGUAGACCUUCUUUGCUGAACAGAUUCCAAAGGAAGCAAGCAAUUGAAUAUUAUAAACAAGUGAUACAAAUAAAGGAAAAUGCGGGGACUUUCGCCAACUCCUCACUCGUCAGGAAGCAGCUAAGCAUUAGCCUCAGUGACACCUUGUGUAAAUUAGGGGAUAUGUAACAUUGCAGAAUGAUGGGAUUUUAUAGCCUCCGGUUGCUGGAAUUGUACACAUUUGCAGAAGCACUGGAAGAUGCUGAGAAUGAUUUUGCAGAGUUUUAAAGUAGCGUGCCCAGGCACAUGAAGUAAGGGCAGAGCGAACACUGAGUAAGCGCCUAGUGUGUGCCAGGCACAGAGCUGUGUGCUAUACGACUGCCAACCCAUUUAAUUCUCAUGACGACCCUAGGAGGUAGGUACCGUUAUUUCCCCCUGUUUAACUCAGCAUCCGUAGAAGAAUUUGGACAAAGAAACUUGAUUUUCUAGUUAGAUGCUUGAUCCACUGUAUUGUCCUUGGGGCCAGUGAAGCUGUUUCCCACUUCCAGAAGUUGACUGCUUUGUUGAGGCUUCUCUAGGGUCAGAAGUGGCUGUUCAGCACCAUUCUCACAGGGGGUCAUUCUAAGAACAGAAGAAAAUCACUGCCAAGGAGAAUGGUUAUUGGUUCUGGUUUUAGCAAUUUGCAAAGUCCAAUAAAAAAUAAAUCCCAAAGUACUCA
This 852-nucleotide long non-coding RNA is filed under the name Ursus maritimus (polar bear). RNAcentral's name for it is "lncRNA (ENSUMAG00000011964.1)". Lineage: Eukaryota; Metazoa; Chordata; Mammalia; Carnivora; Ursidae. The record is from RNAcentral.